UACGUAGGGUGCAAGCGUUAAUCGGAAUUACUGGGCGUAAAGCGUGCGCAGGCGGUUAUGCAAGACAGAUGUGAAAUCCCCGGGCUCAACCUGGGAACUGCAUUUGUGACUGCAUGGCUAGAGUACGGUAGAGGGGGAUGGAAUUCCGCGUGUAGCAGUGAAAUGCGUAGAUAUGCGGAGGAACACCGAUGGCGAAGGCAAUCCCCUGGACCUGUACUGACGCUCAUGCACGAAAGCCAGGGGAGCAAACGGG
RNAcentral lists this ribosomal RNA (253 nucleotides) under uncultured bacterium. RNAcentral describes it as "partial 16S ribosomal RNA". It matches the Rfam family "Bacterial small subunit ribosomal RNA", at positions 524 to 776 of the family's 1533-position model. The record is from RNAcentral.